GCUCCGAAAUUGGAGAACCUUCAGGGCGUUUUUCAAGUAUUCGUCAAUUUUGUAUUAUUUUUUAAGACAUACUCUCCUAAUCGGGGCGGAGAGAAAUCCAACAAAUCAAAAACAUGAAAAUUGGUCCAGCAGAUCUCGAGUUAUAAACGCUGUAACACAUAACACGACUUUGUUUUAUAUAUAUAGAUUUCAUCCAGAGACCAUCUCGACUCACACUUGGAGAAAAAAGUCAAAGGACAACUGAUUGCGUCGGAACGUAAAGCCUUCAACCGAAAAAAAUGUGUCAAGUAAGGUGAUCUAGCAGCCUGAGCAGUAAUGAGGUCAUCCGAUUUUAUUGUGCGUGUUUGCCUAUUUAUUUGUUCGUAUGUCUUUCUAUAUAUGUGUCUCUCUGUCUGUUUCCCUGUCCAUCUCUCUGCCUGUCUUCCCAAGCACCGAGCUAUUUAAGCGGGACUUGCGCUUUGAGUGAAAGUCGUUCUAUAUAAAGAGCAGCAGCUGCAUCAUAUCUUCAGUCGCCUGGCGGGGACUUACAGGAAAUAUUUGGAGAAAAUACUUAGAAAAAAUACUUAGAGGAAAUAUAUAAAUACUUGGAAGAAGGGAUUAUAACAAAAAUCUAAAUUCUAUAAAAUACAUAUGAAUAUAUAUUUAAUUUAUAUAUAAUUUGUCCACUCUAGCUCAAAAGAUGUAGGAAAGACAACAAAUAAUUUCAAGACUCUAGCUUAAAUUUUCUGAAGCCGAAGCGUUCAAACAUACGCCCAGAGCCAGAGUAGCCCUCAGCGGGCCCCUAGGCAACCAUCAAUUUGGAAGUUUUUCACGUCUUAUAAAUUUGACUGUCAGAAUGUAAUAAUAUCAAUAAAAUUACUGCCUAUACUAUAUUAAACAUUUCGCUUUUGAAGCUGAACAACGUAA
Long non-coding RNA from Drosophila mojavensis, 906 nucleotides. RefSeq lists it as uncharacterized. The record is from RefSeq and is a predicted model, not a curated record. NCBI's taxonomy places the organism in Eukaryota, Metazoa, Arthropoda, Insecta, Diptera, Drosophilidae. The transcript has 2 exons.